AUGGAGGCCGCGCACGGGAACUGGGUUGCCCUGCCCAGUGAUCUUCUGAGCUGCGUGGGCGCGCUCCUCAUCGUGCCUGGUUGCAUAUGCUUCCGCGCCGUGUGCCGCAGAUGGAGGGAAGCCAUCCCGGAAGAGCAAGCCGUCGCAAUGCCGGCGCCGUGGGUGAUCAUACCCCGCGUCGACGGCUGCAGCGACUCCUUCAUUGUCCUCUCCGCGCCCACCAUGAAUUGCUUCCGGUGGACGCCCCCGGGCGGUGCGCGCGCCCGCUGCGUCGGCUCCAACGGCAGCUGGCUCGCCAUCGUCACCAUCAUGGACCAUGAUCUCGAGUUUGAGCUGGACGUCGUCGUCCGGAAGGUGACCACCGACCGCUGGCUUCGGCUUCCCGAGCUUGUCGGCGGUGACCACGAGGGCAUCAGGCGGGAGAUGGACGUGGCGUAUCACCAAGGCAAGUUCUACUACAUGGCCACAAGCGGCCAGGUGUGGGUGGUCGACAUGGCCGUGCCGUCCCCCUCUCCCGUGCCACUCGACGUGUUGGAGCCCCCCUUCAACGGCAUGGUCAUGUGCCGCGGCUACCACCUGGCUUUCUCCGGCGACGGCGCGCUGCACGUGGUGUGGAGCCGGAGCGCGGGCGACGGAUACCCGUGGAGUUGCAACCUCCGGGACAUGGCCGUGAUGCGCUUCGACCCUGAAGCAUCUGGCGAGGAGCAGUGGACGCCGGCGAGGAGCAUCGUCGGCCGCGCGCGUUCCUCAUCGGCGAUCGCAACCAGUCCAUAUCGGUCCCCGUGGACAGCAAUGUUAGCCCAAAAUUACGGACUAGCUAGUUCUCCGAGGAUCAACCAAAGAUGCACGAUCAGCUAG
This 858-nucleotide ribosomal RNA is filed under the name Triticum aestivum (bread wheat). Its description in RNAcentral is "partial small subunit ribosomal RNA". The record is from RNAcentral. Lineage: Eukaryota; Viridiplantae; Streptophyta; Magnoliopsida; Poales; Poaceae.